RNAcentral lists this ribosomal RNA (492 nucleotides) under uncultured bacterium. RNAcentral's name for it is "partial 16S ribosomal RNA". It matches the Rfam family "Bacterial small subunit ribosomal RNA", at positions 29 to 507 of the family's 1533-position model. The record is from RNAcentral.
AGUGAACGCUGGCGGUAGGCCUAACACAUGCAAGUCGAACGGCAGCACAGUAAGAGCUUGCUCUUACGGGUGGCGAGUGGCGGACGGGUGAGGAAUACAUCGGAAUCUACUUUUUCGUGGGGGAUAACGUAGGGAAACUUACGCUAAUACCGCAUACGACCUACGGGUGAAAGCAGGGGAUCUUCGGACCUUGCGCGAUUGAAUGAGCCGAUGUCGGAUUAGCUAGUUGGCGGGGUAAAGGCCCACCAAGGCGACGAUCCGUAGCUGGUCUGAGAGGAUGAUCAGCCACACUGGAACUGAGACACGGUCCAGACUCCUACGGGAGGCAGCAGUGGGGAAUAUUGGACAAUGGGCGCAAGCCUGAUCCAGCCAUACCGCGUGGGUGAAGAAGGCCUUCGGGUUGUAAAGCCCUUUUGUUGGGAAAGAAAAGAAGCAGGUUAAUCCCCCGCUGUUUUGACGGUACCCAAAGAAUAAGCAACGGCUAACUUCGUG